CAGACUGUAAUGGGAGGAGGAGGUAGGGAGGAUGACCCAUCAGCAAAGGAGUAAAGACAGUUUGCUCUUGCAAAGGCUUUGGCAGUAAAGAAGAUAUGAAAGGAAAGAUAUUAAGAGGAAAAGAAAGAAAACAUUUCUUCUGUUUCAAGUACAUUGUGAAGUGUCAUGUAAUGCUCAUAUCCGCUCCAUAAAGCAGGACUGAUAAUCCUCCUCUUGAAAAUGAGGAAGCAGAGACUCAGGUUCAGCAACUAAGACCAGAUGAACAACUGGUUUACGGGAAACUGGAUAUCAUUUUAAGGUCUAAUACUUUUCUACUAAACCAUGUUGCCUACCAGGAAGAGAAAGUGUUCAUGAAAGAAGAAGAAAAAGAAAGAGAAUGCCAAGAACAACUUUAUCAACUUCCUAAUUUUGUUUAAAGCUAGUAUACGUUGUCAAUUCAACUGAUCUAUUUCAGCAGAAGUUGAUCCUUAUUAUGAAAUGACUAUGAGAGAGAGAAAUGAGAGAGAGAGAAAUGAGAGGGAGAGAAAUGAUUAUGAGAGAGAGAGAGAGAGAGAAUAUGAGAAUCUUAAACAGGCUCCACACUGAGUGUAGAGGGACUCAAUCCCAUGAACCUGGGAUCAUGACCUGAAGGGAAAUCAAAAGUCACACUCAGCUGACUGAAUCAUCCAGGAGCCCCUAACAUAAAACACAUUAAAGCUAAUUUAAAAUUUAGACCAUACUGAACUUUCCUAAUUAAAAAAAAAAAAUUUCCUGGGAGGAAAAAAGUGUCUGAUUUGUUCAUUUGGACUCCAAGGAAGUCCUCUACUUCAAACCAUUAUGUCCACAGUGGAUCCCAUGGAUUGUUUUUUUCCUCUGGAUGAGAGAGAGAAAAAAAAAAAAGACAAGCUUAUGUUGGGGAAAGAACAAUCCUUUCCAAUGCCAAAGAAAAAUGGGCUCUUCUGGAAUUCUUGAGAGACUGAUUAUACAUUGAUCUCCACAGAGGAAACUCCCUAGGGGAUUUUCAAAGACCCUGUCUGAAAGCACAUCCAUAUGCUUUGGAUGCUCUGGGAAUGGAAAGGUCACGUUGGACCUGAGUGCCUCUCGGUCACGUGUGGGUGCUCCUGUUUGCCACUGACUUGCAUAUAUUUGUAUUUAAAGCCACAACCAGGCAGCAAAGAAAUGUCAUAUGAACACAUUCUGAAAAGGAGGCCAGAACUGGACUAUCCUGGAGCCCUGAUUUCAGACAUCCUGUAACCUACAGGGAGUGAGAAUGGAAGACUUUGUCUCCUUCAUCACAUUUAAGAGAACUUGUAAUUUAAAAGAUCUGCCAGUGGGUGUUUGUUUCAGAUCUUCUCCACUCACUGUCAUCUCCAAGAGGCUCGGCUCUGGGUGUCUACCCCCACGGCCCAGUACUGUACCUCACAGGUCAUGUGUGCAGAAUAAAUAUUUACUGAAUGA
Molecule: long non-coding RNA, 1437 nt
Organism: Felis catus (domestic cat)
Lineage: Eukaryota; Metazoa; Chordata; Mammalia; Carnivora; Felidae
Exons: 6
Source: RefSeq, a predicted model, not a curated record